CUCCAACCCCUUCCCACACAGGUGGGCCCCAUCGUCAGGGCCAAGGAGCCACACCUGGACCAGACGCCGGGCGAGGGAAGGGCACCGGCGGGUGUUGGAGGAGAAGCCCAGAGCAGGAACCAACCGGGGAGCAGGUGGCAGGCAGCAGAACUGUGAGUGUCUCUCAGCUCCUCCACACACGGUGUUGCAGGCAGCUCCUGGAGUAUCUGGGACCAUGGGGACAAACCCCCCACGCUGACCCUCUCCAGGCCUCAGAACAGUGAGGAAAAGGAAGGCCCAGGUUGAAUGGCGGCAUUGUGUGCAAUUCUGGGCCUUUGUGUUCUGAGCAAUGGAACCAAAGAAGGGAGAACUGAUCAGGAGCUGAAAAUCUAUCCACCCGCCUCUCCCGAUGAAAUAGCCGUGCAAGUGUGUGAUUUGAUGAGUGAGCGGCUGAGGGAAGAUGUCAGGAACAGUAGCAGUCUUCCCCGAAGAGAGUGAAGAGCACCAGACCCAGAGACAGGAGGCCCUGGGACAAAUCACAGCCGCUCUGAGCCCGCUGGUAACCAACGGGCCACUGGGGCUUUGGAAGGGCUCCCAAAGUCGGGCUGUGUCCUAGGUGUGCUGCAAAGCUCAAGAAAGAGCAGCAGUUGUUUUUGUCGCCCAUUUUUCUCACGCUUGCUGAUUAUUACAGGCGCCUUCAUGCUCCUGGUAGAGGGCAGGAUGAGGCACUGGCCCCAUUACGACAACAGGGGAAACUGAGGCCUGGCGAGUGAAGGAACUUCAGAGUCACGGGGAUAGGCAGUGGCAGAGGGGCAUUCUGGUGCCAGUUCUCACGUAGCUGGAAAAAAGGAAGAAGGGGCUGGAGGUGAACGGAGGGAAGAUGGAGGGACAGACUCCAGCAGGGAGGUGGGACAAGGCCCAGGCCUGCCUUAUAUAACGCGGCCCACCUGUUCGCCCCGGCACACACCACACGUGUGUGCAAACGUGCCCCCCAGUCCUUGCUCACCAGCGAAUGAGCCACAGAGACUGGGUCUAAACAAAUUGGAUUAGAAAGGCUGCUGCGGGCGCCUCCUUCUGCUCCUGUCCGGCUCCGACACCAAGCAGGCUGCGGAGAGGCCAGCUGCACAAUCCCCGCCACACUGACAAUCGUCCUGGCCCCCAGGCCCCAGCCCUGAGCCCCAGGAAGGGGACGGGGUCUGAGAGGAUGCCACAGUGAUGGAUGGAGUGAGGGAGGCUCCGGGCCGCCUCCAGGACGCACAGGAUGUUAGUGCUUGUGUGAGGCCACUUCCGAGUGUUCCCAGCCCACCCCGCCGCCCGCUCCUCCCCCUUCUCCAGCCUCUCCUGCAGUCACCACUGCCUGUCUAGGACUUGGCCCUGCCGCUAUACCCAUCCCUGGCUCCAUGUUCUCACAGCUGGGCUGAGCCGGAAGUGGGCAGCUCAGGAGACAUCAGCCUGGGGAGAGCACCAGGUGGCACUUCAGAGUAAGGAAACUGGGCAGCAGAGCGAGGCCACCUGAAGGUGGCAUCUAGUGCUCUCAUGUGCAUUGUUGGGUUCAACCCUCAAAAUGUGCCCGGGAGUAGGAGACUGCCAUGGAACCAGUGUGACCGCUGGAGUUUCUUCAUCACAACACCUUUUCCUGAGCCCUGAGACUGUGCCGGGCCAGGUGACAGCUGAGGACAGAGACGAAAGACCCAUUGUCCUAUCUUCUGUUGCUCUAGGAAUCACUCUCUGGGGACUGGAGCUUGGGCACUGGGGCUCCCCUGGCUUUUGCAGGCACGGUCCCACAGAGAUCGGAUAUUUCCACCCAGGGCAGCUGCAGCAAGAACCCGGCCCUGAUGUCAGGCAGCCCCCAGUUCCCAUCCUGUCCCACUCCCUUCCCGGCUGGAUCGCUGUGGUCAAAUGACUUAGCAUCUCCACGCGUGUUUCGCCUUCUCCAAAGCAGGACUGCAAAAGCUCCCGCUUCAUAGGGACAACAGGAUGAACUGCCAUUGUCUGCACUCGCCUGGAGGCUCAGCCGGGGUCACAGCAGGAGCUAGGAGCUGGGUCAGAAGCGGGUGGGCCCCUCACCUGCCGUUCCUCUUCCCCAUCCAGUCCAUGGUCCAAGCAGUCAGGGGCCAGGACAGCUAAAGGUUGGCGCAGGCGGUUUCCCUGUCACAUCCUGGUCCUGCCCCAGCCCCACAGCAGGAGAGCCCAGGUGACCAGCAGGGGCCCCCAACCCUCUGGGUGGCAGCAGAGGUGGGGCGCGCAGAGGGCUCCCAGCCCGGAGCAGCCUGCCAUAUAAGGGAAGGAGCCCAGGAGCCUCCUCACCCUGGCCUGGAGAGAAACCCCAGACAGCCACUGUUUAUUUCUCCUUCCCAGCCUCCUCUUCACCCUCCCCUCCAGCGCUUCCAGACAGAAGACAGAGGAUCCCCGGCUGGCUGGCGACAUCUCCUGAAGACAGGGCGAGAGGGGGGGAAAUGGCCGUCCCCCGGGGUCAGGCUCCCGGGCUGCCAAAAGCCCUCCCUGAACCUCCAGGUAAAAGGCCCACCUGGCUCAGCCUCCUCCUAUCACAGAAGGGGAAGCAGAGACCCCAAGGGGAAAGUGACCUGCUAAGAUAACAGUGCCAACUGCCGACGGGAUCCUGGGACCCGACGGACCAGCUGUCUCAUCUCCUGACUGGGGGUCCAGAGCAUGCAAGAGUCUUCGUGGGAGUGCGAAGAUUACAGUCAUGGGACGCGGGCAUUUUGCUUCUACCUCGACCUGACUAUCAGGCUCGGCCCCAUCUCCCUGGGCACAGAAGAGGAGCUUCAUUUGCUCAGUGACCAGGUACAAUUAUGAGGCCCCGUCCCAAACCCAACGGUCAGGGAGGAGAGACCCAGAGCGGAGGUUGAUGGAAGGGUUGCUGGACUGUUUUUUCUGAGUUGAGCAGCCCAGCACAGCUCCUUGCUCUGUGCCUUCAGAAAAGCCCCUGCUGUGCAGCCUUAGGGCUCACAGGGAUCGACACAGCAAAUAUUCAAGAAGAGGCCUUUUGGUUCUAGUCAUCACCCGUGUGUAGGCCACCGUAGUACUUUAAAAUGUAAGAUGAGUCCUCUGAGUACUUAAAUAGAAACCGUUAUUAUAAAAUGAAAAUGGUAACACUGUCCAAAGGUAGAAAUAAACACAGUGAAAGUGACACAACAUGGUUAGGCUUUAACCUGACGUGUGGCUUGCAGGAUCCUGAGCGGUAAGAGGGGUCAGGAAGGUGUCAGCCCAGGCAGGACGGAAAGAGAAGCGACGGAGACCACCGGAGCCACUCUGUCCCCAAGUGACUCAGUGCUGAGACCCCCAGCUCCCACACCGCAGGGGCCUGGCCCAGCACCUCCUCUGCCGGGUGCGGAGCAGGGGUGUGGCGUGGACAUGUUGUCCCCUGGCCGAGAGAGUCCAGGUUAGAACUGCUCGCCAACCAGAGACAGUUUGAAAGUUUUCUUUUUUCCAUCCUACCCCUCCUCCCUCUUCUUCUCCUCUUCCUCC
Fukomys damarensis (Damara mole-rat) is the source of this 3468-nucleotide long non-coding RNA. RefSeq lists it as uncharacterized. The record is from RefSeq and is a predicted model, not a curated record. The transcript is spliced from 3 exons. NCBI's taxonomy places the organism in Eukaryota, Metazoa, Chordata, Mammalia, Rodentia, Bathyergidae.